GAUCAUGGCUCAGGAUGAACGCUAGCGGCAGGCUUAACACAUGCAAGUCGAGGGGCAGCGGGGAGUAGCAAUACUCCGCCGGCGACCGGCGCACGGGUGCGUAACGCGUAUGCAACCUACCUUUAACAGGGGCAUAACACUGAGAAAUUGGUACUAAUACCCCAUAACAUCAUGAAAGGCAUCUUUUAUGGUUGAAAAUUCCGAUGGUUAGAGAUGGGCAUGCGUUGUAUUAG
This 233-nucleotide ribosomal RNA is filed under the name uncultured bacterium. RNAcentral's name for it is "partial 16S ribosomal RNA". It matches the Rfam family "Bacterial small subunit ribosomal RNA", at positions 15 to 244 of the family's 1533-position model. The record is from RNAcentral.